This 3287-nucleotide unclassified non-coding RNA is filed under the name Amphibalanus amphitrite. RNAcentral's name for it is "zygotic DNA replication licensing factor mcm3-like, transcript variant X2". The record is from RNAcentral. Lineage: Eukaryota; Metazoa; Arthropoda; Thecostraca; Balanomorpha; Balanidae.
AUAGGAGUUCGCGCGCUUUCUCGGAGCGCGCAGCGCGCAGGAGCGCGUAAAGCGCGAUUGUGGAUUUGUUGUUGUGUGUUGUGGUUGGGUGCUGCUAGUCGGUAACUUAGCAUUUUUCCAAGAUGGGUGAUCUUGGUGUGAUUGAGGUGGAUCAGUAUUUAAGAGAUAUCCAGAGAGACUAUCUUGACUUCUUGGAUGAUGAGGAAGAUCAAGGGAUUUACAUGCAUCUUGUUCGGGACAUGAUGGAAAAUCAGAAGACCAGACUCAUUGUGAACGUGAAUGACCUGAGGAAUAAGCUGCCUAAGCGAGUGGCCGGACUCAUGAAAAAUGCCUUCGAAGAGCUCAGCUGUUUUCAGCGUGCUCUCAUGGAGUAUGCUGGAGCAGCGGACCCAGUCUAUGCUAAGCAGCAUGAAGAACUCAGCAUUGGUCUUGAGGGAAGCUUCGGCUCUCAUCAUGUCAGUCCAAGGACUCUGACUUCAAAGUUUCUCGGCUCGGUCGUCUGCGUCGAAGGCAUCGUGACAAAAUGUUCGCUGGUUCGGCCGAAGGUGGUGAAGAGCGUUCACUUUUGUCCGGCCACCGGGAAAACGAUCGAACGCCGCUACACCGAUAUGACGUCACUGGACGCCUUCCCGUCGGGCUCCGCGUAUCCAACGAAGGACGAUGAGGGUAACCUGCUGGAAACUGAGUUUGGCCUGUCCAGAUACAAGGACCAUCAGACGCUGACCAUUCAGGAAAUGCCGGAGAAGGCGCCCGCAGGUCAGCUGCCGCGCUCUGUGGACGUGGUGUGUGACGGCGACCUGGUGGACCGGUGUAAGCCCGGCGACCGCGUCCAGCUGGUAGGCACCUACCGCUGCCUGCCCGGGAAACAGAACGGCUUCACCUCGGGCACCUUCCGCACCAUCCUGAUCGCCAACAACGUCUCCCUGCUCAGCAAGGAGGCGUCGCCCACCAUCACCGCCGACGACGUCAAACUCUGCAGGAAGUUCUGCAAGGCCAAACGGAAGGAUGUUUUUGACCUCCUAGCCCACUCUCUGGCGCCUUCAAUUCACGGUCAUGAGUACAUCAAGAAGGCUCUUCUGUGCCUUUUGCUCGGCGGAGAAGAGAAGAUUCUUCCCAACGGAACCCGUCUCCGAGGCGACAUCAACGUGCUGCUGAUCGGCGACCCGUCGGUGGCCAAGUCUCAGCUGCUGCGCUACGUACUGCACACGGCGCCGCGAGCCAUCACCACUACGGGCCGCGGCUCGUCGGGAGUGGGUCUGACGGCGGCCGUCACCACCGACCAGGAGACCAACGAGCGCAGACUGGAGGCCGGCGCCAUGGUACUCGCCGACCGCGGCGUCGUCUGUAUCGACGAGUUCGAUAAGAUGACCGACAUGGACCGAACGGCCAUCCACGAGGUGAUGGAACAGGGACGCGUCACCAUCGCCAAAGCCGGCAUCCACGCCAAGCUGAACGCACGCUGCUCGGUGCUGGCCGCCGCCAACCCCGUCUACGGCCGGUAUGACCAGUACAAGACUCCGAUGGAGAACAUUGGCCUGCAGGACUCGCUGCUCUCUCGGUUCGACCUGCUGUUCAUCGUGCUGGACACAAUCGACGCCGAGAGUGACCGGCGCAUCUCCGACCACGUAGUGCGCAUGCACCGCUACCGGUCUCCGAACGAAGAGGACGGCGCUGUGCUGCCGCUGGGCUCGGGGAUCGACCUGCUGGCCACCGCUAGCGUGGCGGAGGAGGAGGAGCCCGAGAAAACCACCAUCUACGAGAAACACGACCCGCUCCUCCACGGAAAACGCGAACACGGUGCCGGUAAAAUCAUCAGCAUGAACUUCAUCCGCAAGUACAUCCACAUCGCCAAGGAGAUGAAGCCGAAGCUGUCGAACCAGGCGUGCACUGCGAUCUCUGAGGAGUACUCUCGGCUGAGGUCGCAGGACAACACCAACAACGACAUGGCUAAGACCCAGCCGAUCACGGCCCGAGCGCUGGAGACGCUGAUCCGACUGGCCACGGCACACGCCAAGUGCCGCCUCAGCCCCACUGUCGACAUGCAGGACGCCCACUCGGCCAUCGAGCUCCUCCAGUUCGCCAUCUUCAAAAAGGUGGACAAGAAGCCGGCGAAGAGUCGACGACGCCGGGACGACGGCACUGACACAGAGGGAGAGGGCGACGGCGAGGAGGGCUCCGAGCGACCCAGGGCGAAGCGGCCCCGUCGCCAGCCGGGCGAGGAGGGUUACGACCCGUACGACUACGACUCUGACGAGGCCGACGAGGAGCCGCCGACGCUGCGCUCGCCGCGGCCCACGGCCGGCUCCUCGGCUCCGGAGAGUAUGGAUACGGCCGAGCCGGCCGAGCCAGUCGAGAAGGCCAUCACUGAGGAGAGGUUCUCCGUGUUCAAGACGUCCCUGCAGAACCUUCUCAAGGAGCGGCGCACGCAGACGCUGCCGAUGGCCGAGGUGCGCUCCUACCUGGCCGAACAGCACGCAGCGCGGCCCUUCACCACCGGGGAGGUGGAGGCCGCCACCGAUCGCAUGAUGGAGGCCAACCAGCUGAUGGUGGCCGACGACCAGCUCUUCCUCAUCUAGACGGCGCCUCGGGCUCUGUUCAGUGGCCAACCAGCUCUUCCUCAUCUAGGCGGCGCCUCGGGUCCCGGGGAAGCAUGCGAUGGAUUCCAAAUAGCUGGCGCCUGGCCGUUCUUGGAGCGCUGGUAAAAUGGGCGUUGAAGUAACGCCUAAAUAGGAAUGUUGGCUCGACCUGUGCUUUGGGUAGAUCAGAACAGCGCCUGGUUUGUACCUAAUGCGAGAUGUAACAGCUGAGAGGGACCACGCCAUAUGUUCAUGGCAACUUCCACUUCUGACGACUGGCUGACUUCCGGCGUGCCAUGUGACUCGGACGUGGCCUCGUUUCCCGGAAGACUGUGUAUCUGUGUGUCUGGGGGUGCGGAAGGUUGGCGCCAGAGGCACAGCCCGCGAUACUGAAGGCGGCGAUAUCGGUCUGACCGGAAGGGAGCGGCUGAGAACGAACAGAAGCCACCCGAGAGUUUCCCACCCGGCUGCCCGUGACCGCCUCACCGACAGCCUCGGGAGAAAGUCCGGAGCCGGGAUCUCCCACUGGCGACAUGUCCAACUCUCCGCCGACCCGUGCUCCCCCAUUAUGUAAGUACCUGUUGGACCGUGCGUUUUGUAUGGAUGGCCACAUGCGGUUGGCGCAGUUGCUGCCCCCCGGCUCGCUGUUGGUCUGCUGUCGACCUGUGUGGAUGACGGCCUUCGAAUACACUGUUUUUGCAAAAAAAAAAA